This 466-nucleotide long non-coding RNA is filed under the name Homo sapiens (human). RNAcentral describes it as "HSALNT0343958". The record is from RNAcentral. Lineage: Eukaryota; Metazoa; Chordata; Mammalia; Primates; Hominidae.
CCUUCUUUAAUCUUCAUGAGCCCUCUUGGAUCUCUUCUAAGUGAACUUUCCUUUCUUUCCUGUUCUAAGGCCUUUUAAGUAAACUUCCACUCCUGCUCUAAAAUGUGCCUAGGUCUCUUGUUCUGCUUUAUGCCCCUCAGUCUAGUUGUUUCUUCUGAGGAGGCAAGAUUUAAAGUUGCGGCCGACCUGUGCGGAUUUGCUACUGGUAACUCCUGGUAACUCCGGUCUCUUCCACCACUAACAAAAUGAGGUCCUUGAGGUGGGCUCUAAUUCAGUAUGACCGGUAUCCUUACAAAGAGGAGAUGAGGACCUAGGCACACUCAGAGGAAAGAUCGCUUGAAGACACAAGGAGAAGAUGACACUGUACAAGCUAAGGAAAGAGGCCUCAGAAGAAACCAACCCUGCUGACACCUGGGUCCUGGACUUCUAUCCCACAGAACUAGAAUCUUGCAGUGGGCAGAGUGCU